GAAUUUUACUGUGGCAUUAGAUGGCUCAGCCUGCCUCAUCAUCUGAGAACAAUCUGAUAACAGCAUCUUCUUGACAACUAAAUUGCAAACUCUUUUGGACAGAGACUUUGCUUUUAACUGUGGUCAGAGCCUGUCACAGUUGUGGCCUAUGCUUGGCUAGGGAACAGUCACUAAGGGAAUACAAAAGUAUGAAGAACUAUAAUUAACUGCUUGGAAAAAAAAAUAAAUCAGGAUAGUGAUAAAUUCAUACUAGUUCUAAAAAUUCCAUAUUUAUAAAAUCCAGAUAUUUUACUCUCUGAAUGCUGAGUUUUUUUGAGAGGUUACAAGAUCCUCUGCUGUUAAUUUUACAGCCCAGCCUUGGACCAGAUCAAAUGGUGAUAGACCUCACGGACCCCAACCGGCCCCGGUUCACUUUACAAGAGCUCCGAGAUGUAUUGCAGGAGAGGAACCAGCUGAAAGCUCAGCUUCUGGUGGUGCAAGAGGAGUUACAGUGCUAUAAAAGUGGGAUCAUUUCACAGAAAAGGGACCAAACUGAAGAACUGGAAAAAGAAGUCAGUGGCAGAAGUGCUGGCACCAGCAAGGACAAUGAAGAGAAGACAAUCAUCAAACGUCUGUUUUCUUUUAAACAUGGAAAAUGAGCAUCCUAAAGGACUUCACUGCUGCUGGUGAGAAUGGCACUGAUGAGCCUCAGAGGCGUUGGGAAAGACAAUGAUUGGAAGCAGCAGCAUCACUCCUGCUGUAGAGAAUGAGCAAUCUCAUUAACAUCAUGUUGUAUAAUAUUCUUUCAGAAUAGAUUUUACUCUGCUUUUUCAGAAACUGUUUCAGAAACAAUUUUUGUAUUUCGUACUGUCAGACGUUACCCACAUGUAGAAAAUAAAAUGUUUAUACAAAGCUGGGGUUUAUUCUUAUUAA
Molecule: non-coding RNA, 912 nt
Organism: Cyanistes caeruleus (blue tit)
Lineage: Eukaryota; Metazoa; Chordata; Aves; Passeriformes; Paridae
Source: RefSeq, a predicted model, not a curated record